GAUGAACGCUGGCGGCGUGCCUAAUACAUGCAAGUCGAGCGAACAGACGAGGAGCUUGCUCCUCUGACGUUAGCGGCGGACGGGUGAGUAACACGUGGAUAACCUACCUAUAAGACUGGGAUAACUUCGGGAAACCGGAGCUAAUACCGGAUAAUAUAUUGAACCGCAUGGUUCAAUAGUGAAAGACGGUUUUGCUGUCACUUAUAGAUGGAUCCGCGCCGCAUUAGCUAGUUGGUAAGGUAACGGCUUACCAAGGCAACGAUGCGUAGCCGACCUGAGAGGGUGAACGGCCACACCGGAACUGGGAAACGGUCCCGACUCCUAAGGGAGGGAGCAGUAAGGAAUUUUACGGCAAGGGGGGAAACCUGGAGGAGCAAAGGCGGGUGAGUGAAGAAGGUCUUCGGAUCGUAAAACUCUGUUAUUAGGGAAAAAAAAAAGUGUAAGUAAAUAAGGACGGUUUGACGGUAACCAAACCGAAAGCCACGGCUAACUACGUG
RNAcentral lists this ribosomal RNA (497 nucleotides) under uncultured bacterium. Its description in RNAcentral is "partial 16S ribosomal RNA". It matches the Rfam family "Bacterial small subunit ribosomal RNA", at positions 28 to 507 of the family's 1533-position model. The record is from RNAcentral.